AUGGCUUCGUCGGAGAAGCGCCGGGCGAGCACCUCGCCGUCGGCCACCGCCCUCGCCUCCACCACCACCACCACCACCUCAGCCUCUUCGUCCACAAACCCCACCUCGUCGUCGCCUUACUUCCUGCCGUUGGUCGCGAGCCGCCUGACGAACCUCCAGGACUUCUUCGCCCUCCGCGCCGCCUGCCGCACCUACCGGGAUCUCAUCCCGCCGUCGCCGGCCAACCUCGCCUCCCAGGCUCCGCUCCUCCUCUUCCCCCGCAUGGCCUCUGCCUCGGGAGCCCUGUUUCACGUCCCCCUCCGCCGCAUCCUCCGCUUCCGCCUCCCCUGCACCCGCCUAGGUCGCCCCACCAAAUUCCACUCCUUCGGCUUCCGCGUUUCCACCCAGGACCGCGCCGGCUAUGACACCUGCCGCGAGCUCCGUAUCCGCCACCUCCUCACAGGCGAGCGAGCCCGCCUGCCUGAUCUCCCGAGACCGAGAGACUCUGAAGAAGUCGUCUUUUCCGGCGACCUCGUUGUCACCUUCAGGAAAUGCUGCUGCGUCCUCUACUACUGCCACAUUGGGGAUGAUCACUGGCAGGCAGUGUACUGCGAUGUAGGCCACCUGCCUUACGAUCUGAUGUUCGUGAAAGGCACCCUCUAUGCGCUGAUUUACAAUUACUCACAUUACCGCCUCGCUGUCGUCAAGCUUGGCAAGAAUUCUGCGGUAUUGUCGUUUCUUGGAGAUAAAUUGAGUGUGCCGGAAGUUAACUGUCCAAGGUUCUGGCUAGCAGAGCGUCGUCGUGAGUUAUUGCUCAUUGUCGAGGUGGAGUUCGAUCCAUGUGUGUACCAUGUUUUCUAUCUGCACUCUGGGAAGAAGAAGUGGGAGAGGACUACUAGCCUUGGUGGUUGCAGCUUGUUCUUUAAUUUGCAUGAGUUUGCCGGUUGCCUUGGUCCAGAUCAUCCGGCAGUUCGAAGGGACUGCUUGUACUUCACUGGGUGCUCUGGGAAGUGGAGCGAGUAUUCUUUGGCUGAUGGGUCUUAUCAUGAAUUCGUUAUCGACCACCCAGGGCGAACUGAGGAUUAUGGAUCUCCGGUUUGGGUCCUUCCAAGCAUUUGCUGA
Molecule: ribosomal RNA, 1101 nt
Filed under: Triticum aestivum (bread wheat)
Lineage: Eukaryota; Viridiplantae; Streptophyta; Magnoliopsida; Poales; Poaceae
Description: partial small subunit ribosomal RNA
Source: RNAcentral